This is a small nuclear RNA of Bison bison bison, 108 nucleotides long. NCBI's taxonomy places the organism in Eukaryota, Metazoa, Chordata, Mammalia, Artiodactyla, Bovidae. The record is from Ensembl.
AUGCUUAUUUAGGGCAGCACAUAGACUAAAAUUGAAAUGAUACAGAGAGGAUUAGCAUGUCCCCUGCACAAGGAUGACACACAAAUUUAUGAAGCAUUCUAUAUAUAU